UCCCUCACUGCUGAGGAUCGUGACCACA
Molecule: small RNA, 28 nt
Filed under: Bombyx mori (domestic silkworm)
Lineage: Eukaryota; Metazoa; Arthropoda; Insecta; Lepidoptera; Bombycidae
Description: ovarian small RNA-27385
Source: RNAcentral